Grammomys surdaster is the source of this 722-nucleotide long non-coding RNA. RefSeq lists it as uncharacterized. The record is from RefSeq and is a predicted model, not a curated record. The transcript is spliced from 6 exons. Lineage: Eukaryota; Metazoa; Chordata; Mammalia; Rodentia; Muridae.
AGCCAGACUCCAUGGGACAUGGCCUUUCCCAAUCCCAACAUAGGGUUAGGAGGGCAUCCUCCUGGCUGAACUUGGACUCUUCUUAGCUUCUGACUGGCUGUGUGACCUUGAGAGAAAUACUGUCCUUCUCUGGGCUCAGUUUCCCAGCCCGAACCUGGAAGAAAUGUGGCUACCAUCACUUUGCAGUAGCGGUGCCUGCUGCUUCACACUAUGCAGGGUGGGUAGGGAGGGUCAGCAUAUCCCUCGGGCUGUUUCUCUUCAGCCCUCAUUCUGUAUGUUUCAGCCACUGGGCCCCUGGAAGAACGGCAGAUUGCCUAUGUUUGCCGGGAGGCACUGAAGGGGCUCCACCACCUGCAUUCUCAGGGGAAAAUUCACCGAGACAUUAAGGGUGCCAACCUUCUGCUCACUCUGCAGGGUGAUGUCAAGCUGGCGGACUUUGGGGUGUCAGGCGAGCUGACGGCAUCUGUGGCCAAGAGACGGUCUUUCAUUGGCACUCCAUACUGGAUGGCGCCAGAGGUUGCUGCUGUGGAACGCAAGGGUGGCUACAAUGAGCUAUGUGACGUCUGGGCCCUGGGCAUCACUGCUAUUGAGCUGGGCGAGCUACAGCCACCGCUGUUCCACCUGCACCCCAUGAGGGCCUUGAUGCUCAUGUCGAAAAGCAGCUUCCAACCACCCAAGCUGAGAGACAAGACGCAUUGGUGAGGGCUCCAGCCAAGCCCCCA